This 509-nucleotide ribosomal RNA is filed under the name uncultured bacterium. RNAcentral describes it as "partial 16S ribosomal RNA". It matches the Rfam family "Bacterial small subunit ribosomal RNA", at positions 28 to 523 of the family's 1533-position model. The record is from RNAcentral.
GACGAACGCUGGCGGCGUGCUUAACACAUGCAAGUGGAGCGACGAACCGGGCUUCGGCCCGGGGCAAAGCCGCGAACGGGUGAGUAACACGUGGGUAACCUGCCCCGAUGACUGGGACAACCCGAGGAAACUCGGGCUAAUACCGGAUGUGCUCUCUUCACAUCAGUGAAGUGAGUAAAGGUAGCUUCGGCCUCCGCAUCGGGAUGGGCCCGCGGCCCAUUAGCUUGUUGGUGAGGUAACGGCUCACCAAGGCCGCGAUGGGUAGCUGGUCUGAGAGGACGAGCAGCCACACUGGGACUGAGACACGGCCCAGACUCCUACGGGAGGCAGCAGUGGGGAAUCUUGCGCAAUGCGCGAAAGCGUGACGCAGCAACGCCGCGUGGGGGAAGAAGGCCUUCGGGUUGUAAACCCCUUUCAGGAGGGACGAAGCUCCGGUCGUUAAUAGCGGUCCGGAGUGACGGUACCUCCAGAAGAAGCCCCGGCUAACUACGUGCCAGCCGCCGCCGUAA